UCGUUCCGUUGUUCCAAAAAUCACCUCCGACGGCGAAGGAGGUCCUAUUGUCGAACACAACAUACCACAAGAACCAUCUCAUCUUCCUAGUCCUCAUUCUAAACUGGGAUUUCUCCAAUUCUUCGCCAACCUCAAGAAUAAGAGAAGACUAGAGUGGAAACCCUAGGUCUCAACUUUUCAAUUACAGACUAAUGGAUAAGGAAAUAAAGCUCAAACCAUAGGGGUUUGACUCCUCGCACCAAGAUUUACAUCACAGCAAGAAGAAAAGAGCAAGAAAAUGAUUUUUCACCAACCAUCGAAGCGGAGGAGAGAUUCGGUGUUUGUUGGAAUUGAAGAAGACGAAGCUCAAGAAAAUACCAGAGGAAUACGAUUAUCAAGGUUGCAACUUAAAUGGAAUUGGGCUUCACAUGAAUGACGACCUACUGAACAGCUAGUGCAGGUUAUCUGUGUUGGUCGAUGCACAUUGCUUGCUAAUGACAGGUUCUGCUUGAUAACUGAAGAGGAAGGCAGGGCAGAGAAAACUGGUUGAUUGGUCAGGAGGAACAAGAUUCUUGCAUUCGUGUUGCAGGUCAAGCUAUGAUGCUAUCUCAUGCCAGGGCAACAAGGGUUGAAAGCAAGGUCAUUGUAGCAAGGUAGUGGUGUCCUGAGUCUGAUGAUGUUUUAUUCAGUAGGUUUUGCCUUGUGUAUCAUGGCUUCACGUUGAUUCUACAACGUGGUUUCAACUUGAUUUAUCAGCAUGGUUUGUGUUUAUGCUUGCUCCAGGUGUGAAUUAGGCUAGAUUGCAAGUGGAUUGGACUUGAACCAUGAUGCAUGGUAUGGUUUAAUAGGUGUUCUGCAUUAGACCAUAUUGGUUCUGUUUGUUGGAUUAGAUGUUUGACGUUAGCAGGGACAAGAUUAAAGUGAAUUGUCCCUGAUAUGACAAAGGGUGCAUUCAUGACCUGUUUUGGAUGUGUCCAUCAUAUGCCUAAAGCUUAAUUCAAUGGUGACAUGCCAAUGUGUGCUUGUAGCUAAUGAUAACUAGGAUUGUCAUAUUAUGUUUAGAUGACUUUUGCAUGAUCAAUGAUUGGUAUAUUAAUGUUUACUUGUGCAUACAUGAUGCAGGAUCAUAUGUUGGUGUAGUUGGACACCAAGGCAAGGUGAAACAAGGCCAUAACCAAAGUAAAGCAAGGCAUGGGUAACCAAGUUCAAGCAUAAAGCCACAAGGUGGGAAACCAAGUUCAAAUGGUCAACUCAAGGUUAAAAUGGACAUGUAAUAUGAAAGUGGGGCUAGGAUUGAUUAUUUAUUGUGAAAAAUAAAAUUGGGUUGACUUUGGUCAAAGUUGACCAAAAAGCCAAUUGUUGACCAAUGUCAACACUUGGCCAAAAUUGCCAAUCUCUUUUUUCAUGUGAUGAACAUUUUUAUGGCUUAUGAAUGGAAAUUGA
Lathyrus oleraceus (garden pea) is the source of this 1422-nucleotide long non-coding RNA. RefSeq lists it as uncharacterized. The transcript has 4 exons. The record is from RefSeq and is a predicted model, not a curated record. NCBI's taxonomy places the organism in Eukaryota, Viridiplantae, Streptophyta, Magnoliopsida, Fabales, Fabaceae.